GACGAACGCUGGCGGCGUGCUUAACACAUGCAGGUCGAACGGAAAGGCCCUGCUUUUGUGGGGUGCUCGAGUGGCGAACGGGUGAGUAACACGUGAGUAACCUGCCCUUGACUUUGGGAUAACUUCAGGAAACUGGGGCUAAUACCGGAUAGGAGCUCCUGCUGCAUGGUGGGGGUUGGAAAGUUUCGGCGGUUGGGGAUGGACUCGCGGCUUAUCAGCUUGUUGGUGGGGUAGUGGCUUACCAAGGCUUUGACGGGUAGCCGGCCUGAGAGGGUGACCGGCCACAUUGGGACUGAGAUACGGCCCAGACUCCUACGGGAGGCAGCAGUGGGGAAUAUUGCACAAUGGGCGGAAGCCUGAUGCAGCAACGCCGCGUGCGGGAUGACGGCCUUCGGGUCGUAAACCGCUUUCGCCUGUGACGAAGCGUGAGUGACGGUAAUGGGUAAAGAAGCACCGGCUAACUACGUG
This 468-nucleotide ribosomal RNA is filed under the name uncultured bacterium. RNAcentral's name for it is "partial 16S ribosomal RNA". It matches the Rfam family "Bacterial small subunit ribosomal RNA", at positions 28 to 507 of the family's 1533-position model. The record is from RNAcentral.